UUAAGAAUAAUGCAUUUCCACAUGGAAUCCAUUGCUUUCCAGCUUAGAGGAAAUUCUAUUUUAUUCUUGUUGAUUCAUAGUUUAAUAUGUUGACAAAAGAAAAAAAAUGGAAGAGUGUAAUCAGCUGAACGAGAAUAAUACUCUUAGCCUAGGGGGGAUUUCUUUACGCAACUCAAGUUUUUGCACCAAAUUAUUCAGUAUAUGGGGGAGCGAGUAGCAGCUUAAGCGUGAGUAAUUAACAGACCAGAGAAGGUACGGGAAGUUCUUAGAGUGAUGUUGGAUUCCAAAGCUAACGUCGUAUUUCUGCAAGAAUCAAAGCUUUUGACGUUGAAGGCAGUAUUAUUUCAUCAGCUUCGAUGAGGCACCUUGUCGAGUUCAUUCAAGAUAAUAGCUUUAUCGAUCUUCCUCUUGCUGGAGGACCGUUUACCUGGUGGAAAGGAUUCUUCGGUGAGUUCGGGUCCCCGUCCGUUCAAGUGGUUCAACAGCUGAGCAAAUGAUCAAGGAUAUGUUAAUCUUGUUAAAAGGUCAAUUUAAAUACCCAGGGUUGUGUAUAUCCAAAGUGCUAAAAAAAUAUUAAAUUUGCAUCAAAGUAGUUGGCUUUUCAAACCAAGGAAAGAGAGACAGUGAUGCGUGAAAAGAAAGAAAGAAAUAGUUGAAAGUUGCAUGGGAAAUGAAUCUUGAAAUUGAGUUGAAUUAUAAUAUGGGUAUCACGUGGGUUUUAGUUGAAAAAGUACAAACUGGGAAAUUACAAGAUUGUUCGUGUUCGUUAGAAAAGAUUGGAAGCUAGAAAUCAAGCUGGUGAGCUGGAAUUCAAUAGUAAUAUUUUGGGUUUUGUUGACGUCCUGAAUCCGAAGUUUAUUUCGUCAAAUUUGAACCCAGUAAGCUGUUUUUCACUGAUUAAUCACCCGAUUUGAUCCGUUUUUUGGAAUUAAGCUCCG
This is a long non-coding RNA of Hibiscus syriacus, 938 nucleotides long. RefSeq lists it as uncharacterized. The transcript is spliced from 3 exons. The record is from RefSeq and is a predicted model, not a curated record. NCBI's taxonomy places the organism in Eukaryota, Viridiplantae, Streptophyta, Magnoliopsida, Malvales, Malvaceae.